Molecule: ribosomal RNA, 486 nt
Filed under: uncultured bacterium
Lineage: Bacteria
Description: bacterial SSU rRNA
Rfam family: Bacterial small subunit ribosomal RNA
Source: RNAcentral
GACGAACGCUGGCGGCGUGCCUAACACAUGCAAGUCGAGCGGGAAGUCAGAAAAUGAAGCUUCGGCAGAUUUUUCUGAUGGAGAGCGGCGGACGGGUGAGUAACGCGUGAGUAACCUGCCCAUAAGAGGGGGAUAACAACCGGAAACGGUUGCUAAUACCGCAUAUUAUGUUUUUGUCGCAUGACGUUAACAUGAAAGAUUUAUCGCUUAUGGAUGGACUCGCGUCCAAUUAGCUAGUAGGCGGGGUAACGGCCCACCUAGGCUACGACGGGUACCCGGCCUCAGAGGGCGGACGGGCGCAUUGGGACUGAGAUACGGCCCAAACUCCUACGGGAGGCAGCAGUGGGGAAUAUUGCACAAUGGGGGAAACCCUGAUGCAGCGACGCCGCGUGAGCGAAGAAGUAUUUCGGAUGUAAAGCUCUAUCAGCAGGGAAGAUAAUGACGGUACCUGACUAAGAAGCUCCGGCUAAAUACGUGCCAGCAGCC